Molecule: ribosomal RNA, 510 nt
Filed under: uncultured bacterium
Lineage: Bacteria
Description: bacterial SSU rRNA
Rfam family: Bacterial small subunit ribosomal RNA
Source: RNAcentral
AGAGUUUGAUCCUGGCUCAGAACGAUCGUUGGCGGCGUGGAUUAGGCAUGCAAGUCGAACGAAUCCCAGAGGGCUUGCUUUCUGGGGGAAGUGGCGAAAGGGGCAGUAAUGCGUGGGUAACCUACCCCGGGGAUCGGGAUAGCCCUCCUAACGGAGGGGUAAUACCGGGCGAUGCGGCGAGGGGGCAUCUUCUUGCCGUGAAAUGAGUUUCGCCUCGGGAGGGGCUCACGUGCUAUUACCUAGUUGGCGGGGUGACGGCCCACCAAGGGGAAGAUGGCUAGCAGGCGUGAGAGCGUGCCCUGCGCCACUGGCACUGCGACACUGGCCAGACUCCUACGGGAGGCUGCAGUCGAGGAUCUUCGGCAAUGGGCGCAAGCCUGACCGAGCGACGCCGCGUGUGCGAUGAAGGCCUUCGGGUUGUAAAGCACUGUCGAGGGGGAGGAAGCCGCAAGGUUGACCUAUCCCUGGAGGAAGCACGGGCUAAGUUCGUGCCAGCCGCCGCGGUAAUAC